Molecule: ribosomal RNA, 249 nt
Filed under: uncultured Actinomycetales bacterium
Lineage: Bacteria; Bacillati; Actinomycetota; Actinomycetes; Actinomycetales
Description: partial 16S ribosomal RNA
Rfam family: Bacterial small subunit ribosomal RNA
Source: RNAcentral
UGGGGAAUAUUGCACAAUGGGCGAAAGCCUGACGCAGCGACGCCGCGUGAGGGAUGAAGGCCUUCGGGUUGUAAACCUCUUUCAGCAGGGACGAAGCGAAAGUGACUGUACCUGCAGAAGAAGCACCGGCUAACUACGUGCCAGCAGCCGCGGUAAUACGUAGGGUGCAAGCGUUGUCCGGAUUUAUUGGGCGUAAAGAGCUCGUAGGCGGCUCGUCGCGUCGGAUGUGAAAACUCGGGGCUUAACCCC